GGCUUAACCCACUGAGCCACCCAGGCCUGCUUGGGACAGCUUUAAAGAAAAUCCCAAGUCAAUUAUGGAACUACCUUCUCACUGCUUCCCCUUCACCCCCAC
This is a long non-coding RNA of Lontra canadensis (Northern American river otter), 102 nucleotides long. RefSeq lists it as uncharacterized. The record is from RefSeq and is a predicted model, not a curated record. Lineage: Eukaryota; Metazoa; Chordata; Mammalia; Carnivora; Mustelidae. The transcript is spliced from 3 exons.